Molecule: ribosomal RNA, 492 nt
Filed under: uncultured bacterium
Lineage: Bacteria
Description: partial 16S ribosomal RNA
Rfam family: Bacterial small subunit ribosomal RNA
Source: RNAcentral
AGUGAACGCUGGCGGUAGGCCUAACACAUGCAAGUCGAACGGCAGCACAGUAAGAGCUUGCUCUUACGGGUGGCGAGUGGCGGACGGGUGAGGAAUACAUCGGAAUCUACUUUUUCGUGGGGGAUAACGUAGGGAAACUUACGCUAAUACCGCAUACGACCUACGGGUGAAAGCAGGGGAUCUUCGGACCUUGCGCGAUUGAAUGAGCCGAUGUCGGAUUAGCUAGUUGGCGGGGUAAAGGCCCACCAAGGCGACGAUCCGUAGCUGGUCUGAGAGGAUGAAACACCACAAGUGAACCUGAGACGCGGCCCAGCCUCCAAGGGAGGGAGGCGGGGGGGAAGUUUGAAAAAUGGGCGCAGGCUGCACCAAGCCUUCCCGGGGGGGGAAAGAAGGCUUCGGGGUUGAAAGCCCUUUUUGUGGGGAAAAAAAGGCAGAGGUUUAAUCCCCCGCUGUUUUGAGGUUACCCGAAGAAUAGGCACCGGCUAAUUUCGU